UUUUAUUUUAUUUUAUUUUAGUAUUCAUUUGCUGUCUUUCUGCAGCUUUAUCUUAUCCUUUAUAUGUGUGUCUAUGUGUGUCUUUGUGUCUGUGUCAACUCACAUGCAUAGUCAGACGUAGGAUUCUCAUCUGCUCCAGCACUACAUCUGCCCAUAGACCACCAUGCUCCCGCCAUGAAUGAUAAUGGACUGAACUUCUGAAACUAAUGUUUGGCAGACUCUUCCAUGAAGCAGGAACCCUUCAGGACUGUCCAUCUUGUUUUCUGUGGGUCCUGCAUGUCCAGCUUAUACAGCAACAAACAGGCCAGGUAGGAGCAGUCUCUUGCCCAAAUGGCUAAUCUUGCCAUGUUGAAAGCAAACUCCAUAACGAGUUUCUUCAAUGCCCAUUUUCCUCUCAGAAGUAAUUGGACUACCAGGAGCAGUUGUGUCUCACUGCCAUGAAAAAC
RNAcentral lists this long non-coding RNA (446 nucleotides) under Cricetulus griseus (Chinese hamster). Its description in RNAcentral is "lncRNA (ENSCGRG00015030267.1)". Lineage: Eukaryota; Metazoa; Chordata; Mammalia; Rodentia; Cricetidae. The record is from RNAcentral.